Molecule: ribosomal RNA, 133 nt
Filed under: uncultured bacterium
Lineage: Bacteria
Description: partial 16S ribosomal RNA
Source: RNAcentral
UCUUCUGAUGGUACAGUCUCGGGGAGGAAACCUCCCUUUUCUUCCCAUCCGAAAGCAGUUUACAACCCGAAGGGCUGUCAUCCUGCACGCGGCGUCGCUGGGUCAGGGUUGCCCCCAUUGCCCAAAAUUCCUC